Molecule: ribosomal RNA, 693 nt
Filed under: fungal endophyte
Lineage: Eukaryota; Fungi
Description: eukaryotic LSU rRNA
Rfam family: Eukaryotic large subunit ribosomal RNA (bases 106-693)
Source: RNAcentral
GACCCGCCGCGGCUCCGAGCGUAGUAGUAAAAUAUCUCGCUAUGGAGGCCCGUGGGGGGAUUACCGGCCGUAAAACCUCUUCUUUACGGAAGAACUUCUCAAGGUUGACCUCGGAUCAGGUAGGAAUACCCGCUGAACUUAAGCAUAUCAAUAAGCGGAGGAAAAGAAACCAACAGGGAUUGCCCCAGUAACGGCGAGUGAAGCGGCAACAGCUCAGAUUUGAAAUCUGGUCCCCAGGGCCCGAGUUGUAAUCUGUAGAGGAUGUUUCUGGCAAGGCGCCGUCCGAGUUCCCUGGAACGGGACGCCGGAGAGGGUGAGAGCCCCGUACAGGCGGACGCCGAGCCUCUGUGAAACUCCUUCGACGAGUCGAGUAGUUUGGGAAUGCUGCUCAAAGCGGGAGGUAAAUUUCUUCUAAAGCUAAAUAUAGGCCAGAGACCGAUAGCGCACAAGUAGAGUGAUCGAAAGAUGAAAAGCACUUUGAAAAGAGGGUUAAAAAGCACGUGAAAUUGUUGAAAGGGAAGCGCCUGUGACCAGACUCGCGCCCGGCGUAUCAUCCGGCGUUCUCGCCGGUGCACUACGCCGGGCUCGGGCCAGCAUCGGUUCUGGUGGGGGGAUAAAGGCGGCGGGGAUGUGGCUCCCCCGGGAGUGUUAUAGCCCGCCGCUCAAUGCCCUCGCCGGGACCGAGGACCGCGC